Long non-coding RNA from Daphnia magna, 2086 nucleotides. RefSeq lists it as uncharacterized. The record is from RefSeq and is a predicted model, not a curated record. NCBI's taxonomy places the organism in Eukaryota, Metazoa, Arthropoda, Branchiopoda, Diplostraca, Daphniidae. The transcript has 4 exons.
CAAUUAUUUCACGAGGACAAUUGCCACAUUGUAGCCUUUAUUGCCCAAGAAAAUCAUGUUAAGUGGUCUCCUGAUUUGAUACUUCCAGAAAAUGUUCCAGUACCCAUUCUCAAAACAACAAAGGAAGGAAAGAAAAACUUGGGUCCCAUACUGGAAUUCAUUGAAACUCCAGAAGUUGAAGCUGCAAAGAAAUUGUGGAUUAAUAUCUACAAUGAAAAACAGGCUAUUCGUGAAAAACCACCCGAGUGGAUUCAAGCAAAAUAUGAUAGAUUGGAAACAAUCCGGUCAAAAAGGGAGGAAAUUAAAAAGAAGCAACUGGAAGCAGCUAACUCCACUGUGACAAACUUGUCGCCCGUCUCUUUUUCAGUGCAAGAAAGUGAAACCCUGCCCAGCAACAUCAUUUCACCGGAUAAUAACUAGAUAUUUUUGAGCGGUGAGAGUAUCUUUGCGGAAGCAUUCGCAAACAAUGCCGAACUCUCUCAUGAACUUCUAUUACCAAAUGAAAUGGCCUCAUCUUCCGGCAGAGCAACACCUCCAAUUAACUAUGCCAAAAAAAGAAGAAGCCAGGAAAUUGACAAAAUUUUUUCGUGGCGGGGUAAAAUUUAUUUCUGUUUAGUUCAUGCACUAAGUUGAUUCCAGAGGCUCCUAGUAUUAGCUUUACAAAUAUAAUAGGCAAAUUAGUAAGUUUACAGACAGAAUUUUCUUAGAAGACCCACAUCGUCAGUAAGUAAUGGCGGCCAACCACUCCAUGAUUGAUUGCGUACGGGAAUGCUGGUCAGAUCUGAUACGUCUCGUUUGACUUCUAAUAACGUCUUCGUGCCAAGGAAAUUGAUGGUAUAGGUCUGAUCGUGCGUAAUGUCAAAUAUGCUGAGCCGAUAAGUUUGGGUCAUCCGGGAAACACUCCUGAUUGAAGAAAUACGUAUUCGUUCUUUGAAGGUCUGGGCAAUAACGUGACUGAUUCAUACUCUUCAGUAGCUGCAUCCCUUCCAUCAGUAUUCACAGAUAAGUACAGGCCUUCUAUAGUAACGGCCAGGAAGCUGGCUAUCUCCCUGUAGAACAAAAUUUUGUCAUCCUCCCACCGACCCACAGCCGCCUCUGGCUCUUUUUCCCUAGCGACGCCCUAGCAACGAAAGCGUGUCCUAUCCGCUUUCCACAUUUUCUUUCCCAAUUUUUCCACUUUUCACAGGCUGAGAGCAUGCUCAGCCAUAUCUUGUUCAAGGGUGCAAGGGUCAGUGCCGGCCAAUGCAUAGGUCAGGGAUAAUUAUUAACAACGAAGAAAAAGUGCUGUGUAAUUAAUUGUUUGAAUAAAGGUUACGGAAAAGGAGUUUUAAACCAAAAAGUGACUUACCACACUUUUCAUAAGAUGAAAACAGAAUCGACAAAUGGAUAAAACAUUUACACGGCAGUGUCGAAAAGGGAUCUUCAACAUACAGACUCCUAAAAUAAAGUGAUUACACUGUUAUUUGUAGUGAUCAAUUCGAAGAAAACUGUUUGUUUUUUUCAGUUACUGGAAAUACCAAACUGUUGAAGAAAUCAGCUGUUCCAACGUUGUUCAACAAGGUGGCAGUCAUUCAGACAAAUGAACAGAUUAAUAUGCCAAAUAAAAGAAUUCUGAUGAUGCACAACGGUAAUGCUUCAACUCAACCAAUUCACAGUUCUAUCAAUUCAACUCAAGAGACAGGCUUAACAAUGAUUGUCUUCUUGAAAUGACACAAGACCGCAUAAAUGAGCUUUAGGGCUUGGGGAAAAAAAUAUCCGACUGUUGUGGUUCUGGGCUUCGUCUCGUCUUUCAGCUCUUUCAUUAUAAAACUAGAUCCGACCUUGUUAUGGCUCUUAAUAAGAUUUUUCUUGUUCUGUCCCGCACUUUUUUUUCUCGUUAGGUUUUGUUUCCCUCUUUAAUCAUGUUGACCUUGUCCCCAUAAUACUUUGUAGGUAAGAUUUAGUAUCUUUCCUUACAAACUUCAGUGAAAGUAAAAUCUUGCAACAAAGCGCCGGCUAAAGCCGGCGCUAGGAUUUACGUUCUUUAUUCACCUACGUUCUUUAUAAAAUCCAGGCCUGUUCUGGUAUUGAAGAUGUGGAAGAAGCG